Molecule: long non-coding RNA, 2313 nt
Filed under: Ananas comosus (pineapple)
Lineage: Eukaryota; Viridiplantae; Streptophyta; Magnoliopsida; Poales; Bromeliaceae
Description: long non-coding RNA (ACOM_LNC024996)
Source: RNAcentral
ACCAUCAUUCCCGUCGCUGUCCUCGCCUUAGCGAAUUCUUAUCAUCGGCGGGUUGCGACGAGUCCGGAAUAUUACAUAUAAAUAUAAAAUAUAUGUAUUCGAAUACGAGUGAGCUGACUCUAAUUUUUGUUUAGCUUGUUUAUUAAACGAGCUGAAAAAUUCAGUUCGUAUUCGGCUCGUUUACUAAACGAGCGAUUCGAUCUCAAGCUCAUUUCGAGUCGAACAUGAGCCGGCUCGCAAAUAGUGAAUUGGAUUUUCACCCCAAGGCCCCCCUCCUUACUUCAAAAUGUUUGCCCAGAGAAUAACAUGUAUAGUCGGCACCUUGAAGAGCAUCGCCGCCGAAUUAUUAAAAGUUUGCCGUGAAGUUGUGAAAUCGGCAAUUCAAGUUGUUUGGGCACCGUACUUAGUCUGAUAGCCGAGUCAAAUUGGAAUAAUAACUCGGCAAACGACUCACGUUUGUGAGGACAUGUUGCGGAAAUUUUUACCCGUUUGAACAUCAAAUUAAGAUCAUCCAAUUAGGUAUACUUUUCACCUCAAAAAAAGAGAUUAAUUAAGGAGAGUUGAGUAAAAGUAUCUGCUCAUACUUCAUUUUGUAAGUUGCUCUCUAUUGUUUUUUUUUGUUUGUUUUUUCCCUCCAUACCUGUGAUUCGCUUCCAUCUUUCUAAACUUUGAAUUGCGAUUGCUGUCACAUCCNAGCAAAUUUCCAAUAGCUUACACACACACACACACAGAGUAAAUCUACUAAAAAUGAGCUUAAAAUUAGGGAAACACAUCACAUCACCAGUAAGAUCAUAUAAUACGUUUAAAAUGGCCAUUUACGAAUCUAAAAAUUACAAUAAACAAGUUUUUGGAUCUAGAUGCAAACAUCACGAUUCCUAACCCAAAAAUUUUUUUAAAAAAUGGGGCAAAAAGGCGAAAUUAUUUGGUUACCUAAAAGCUAGAACGACGACGAUCGCCCUUUCCCGUGCUCCGCACUCCACUCGCCCACUACCGCGCGAUAAACGAACGAAUCAAAUUACUCGGCUUUGGAUUUAAAUGGGCCGGACCAGCCCAUUUGGGAUAAUGGGCCCACCCGAAUAUGAGAACAAUUGGGUCUAAGGUUUUCGAACAUUUUAAAAUGGACGGGGCAAAUGAAUACAGAGCCCAACCCGGCCCAUUAAAACCAGGAAUUAUACCAAAAUAGGCCGCAAUAGGGGUGUCAACGAGCCGAAUACGAGCUGGCUCAUGAACUGACCAACGAAUAAUAAAUUAAAUAGAUUAGAUUGAUAAAUAUAAAAAAUAAAUUUAUAAAAUUUUACCCAUUAGACUUUACAUAUAAAUGGUUGAAAAUUUACAUAUAAAUAAGUUCUUUUUAUAAUUGAGCUCGACUUUAUUCUUUUUUGCUAAAAAUCAAAUAAUAAAAAUAUGUAUAUUUUAUAUAUAAUUAUUUAUUUAUAUAUAAAAAUUAUAUAUACACAUAAAUUAAAUAAAUUAUAUAAUGUAACGGCCGGAGCGACAAUGGAAGGAGGAGGUGAGAGCGCGGAGGAGAAGAGAGCGACAAGGUGAUUAGGGCAGUGGGGAGAGGAUCCGACAGUAUCUAAACCAAGUCAAAGGGUAAAUAAACAAGCUAAUUGGAGCGGGUACUUACCGGUAUCGGGCGGGCGCGGUAUGAGAGGAUCCGACCACUAAGGGAGGCUGGACUCUGGAGGGAAUAGAGAUUAGAGAGGGCCCAGUACCGAAUUAGGCCCAUAACAGCCCGAUUAUUAUUUAGCUUAAUUUGACUACUAUUUUGCAAUGUAAUCCCUGUACUUUUUGCUUUUCCCACUAUGAACGAGAUCUGGAGAUGAGUUAUAUAGGAUGAUUGUAACGAGGAGAGGAUCAUGAAUGAAAUACUAGUUAUCUUCUUCUCCAAACUUCUUCUCCCCCGACCCCUCUCUCUAUCCUACCCAAAUUCUUUCUCUCUGAUCUCAAUUCCCCUCUAUAUACCUCCCAAUUCCCAUCCCUUCUUUCUCUGGACUUCCGAUCUUAUUCUUUCAGCCUCAAUUGACCAAGAGUCACUGUCCGGGGCCACCAUCAUCCCCGUCGCUGUCCUCGCCUUUGCGAAUUCUUGUCAUCGGCAGGUUGCGACGAGUCCGGAAUAUUACAUAUAAAUAUAAAAUAUAUGUAUUUGAAUACGAGUGAGCUGACUCUAAUUUUUGUUCGGCUUAAAAAUUCAGUUCGUAUUCGGCUCGUUUACUAAACGAGCGAUUCGAUCUCGAGCUCAUUUCGAGCCGAACAUGAGCCGGCUCGCAAAUAGUGAGUUGGAUUUUCACCCCAAGGCCCCCUCCUUACUUC